Long non-coding RNA from Mus musculus (house mouse), 616 nucleotides. RefSeq annotates it as predicted gene 27216. The record is from RefSeq and is marked validated. The transcript is spliced from 5 exons. Lineage: Eukaryota; Metazoa; Chordata; Mammalia; Rodentia; Muridae.
AGAGUCCUCUCCCUGUAACCCAGAAUGUUUGCACGUCCCACCCGCGCUUUGCCCAGCUCCUCACUGUCCUUGGACUUCCCUGGAGAACGUAGAACUGAUGUGCACUGUUGGCUCCUGUUGUGCUGCACAGGCCUCCGUACAAACGGAACUCAAGAGCAUACACCACUCAUCUCUGCUAGUGGAUCACCUCUGAACGCUGUCUGCGCUGGGCUGAGGAUGCUCAUUACUGAAGUUCAAGGUUCUUACUGAUGUCACUGGAAAAUUUGUCUCUGCUCUGAGAAAUCACAGGGGUUAGUCUUUGUGACUCGUGAGGUGACUACACUAACACCUGGUGUUGAUAAGAUGGCAUGAAAACAGCCAGCUCUGGAAGUCGUGCGGAGUGAUGGCUCAGAAGUGAAUAGUGCUUGCUGCUCUUUCCAAGGACCCGAGAUGGGUUACCAGCACCCAUGUUCUCCAGAUCACAGUCUUCGCUAACUCCAGCUCCAGGGCUUCUAACCCCCUCUUCUGGCCUCCAUGGUACCUUUACUCAUGUGCCUGACAUCCUCCCACACAUACUUAAUGAAAAAUUAGAAUUAAAUCUUUAAUAAUAAUAAUAAAGAGUCCCGGAAGAGUUUCA